Molecule: ribosomal RNA, 484 nt
Filed under: uncultured bacterium
Lineage: Bacteria
Description: partial 16S ribosomal RNA
Rfam family: Bacterial small subunit ribosomal RNA
Source: RNAcentral
AUUGAACGCUGGCGGCAGGCCUAACACAUGCAAGUCGAGCGGCUGAAGGGAGAUUGCUCCUGGAUUCAGCGGCGGACGGGUGAGUAAUGCCUAGGAAUCUGCCUGGUAGUGGGGGCUAACGUCCGGAAACGGGCGCUAAUACCGCAUACGCCCAGAGGGCGAAAGUGGGGGAGCAUCGGACCUUACGCCAUCAGAUGAGCCUAGGACGGAUUAGCUGGUUGGUGGGGUAAAGGCCUACCAAGGCGACGAUCCGUAACUGGUCUGAGAGGAUGAUCAGUCACACUGGAACUGAGACACGGUCCAGACUCCUACGGGAGGCAGCAGUGGGGAAUAUUGGACAAUGGGCGAAAGCCUGAUCCAGCCAUGCCGCGUGUGUGAAGAAGGUCUUCGGAUUGUAAAGCACUUUAAGUUGGGAGGAAGGGCAGUAAGUUAAUACCUUGCUGUUUUGACGUUACCAACAGAAUAAGCACCGGCUAACUUCGUG